RNAcentral lists this ribosomal RNA (207 nucleotides) under uncultured delta proteobacterium. RNAcentral describes it as "partial 16S ribosomal RNA". It matches the Rfam family "Bacterial small subunit ribosomal RNA", at positions 568 to 774 of the family's 1533-position model. The record is from RNAcentral. Lineage: Bacteria; Deltaproteobacteria.
CGUGUAGGCGGGAAAGCAAGUCUGAUGUGAAAGCCCCGGGCUUAACCUGGGAAGUGCAUUGGAAACUGUUUUUCUUGAGUACUGGAGAGGAAGGGAGAAUUCCCGGUGUAGAGGUGAAAUUCGUAGAGAUCGGGAGGAACACCAGUGGCGAAGGCGCCCUUCUGGACGGUUACUGACGCUGAGACGCGAAAGCGUGGGGAGCAAACA